This 321-nucleotide long non-coding RNA is filed under the name Capsella rubella. RNAcentral's name for it is "long non-coding RNA (CRUB_LNC000778)". The record is from RNAcentral. Lineage: Eukaryota; Viridiplantae; Streptophyta; Magnoliopsida; Brassicales; Brassicaceae.
GCUCUUCGAAGUCAAUAAGCUCACAUUCUUUUCCUUUUUCCAGGGUGCAACGCUUUCCACAAGUGACCUCCAAAGGUAAAACAGCUAAUCCUCUACGCUGAAAGCUGUGUUUUGUGUGCAUGUUUCAGAUUCUUACAGGAAAUGUUCGGUUAGACAGAUCUUUGUCUCUAAGAUUAGCAAUGGUUUCUGUUUUUUUACCUUUACAGAAAUGGAGUUGAUACGGAAGAAGAGAUAUUCCGUGUUACCUACUAUGGAAAGGGAAGAAUGCCGGUAAGAUCUUCUUCAAGAACAUCCUUGUAUAAAUCGAGAACGCCUUUGCAU